GUGAAUCAUCGAAUCUUUGAACGCAAAUUGCACUCUCUGGUAUUCCGGAGAGUAUGCCUGUUUGAGGUUCAGUGUAAAUAAAAAUAGGUGUGGUUGCUUCCUUUCGUGGUCACUCACCGGAUUUGGGUUGUCGUGCCUUCGGUUAAGUGACAUAAAAUGUUGCAUGACUUUUUUCGAACGUAUUUUAAUGAUUUUACGUACGUUUACGAUGUCGAUUACUAGUA
RNAcentral lists this unclassified non-coding RNA (224 nucleotides) under Glomus sp. RNAcentral describes it as "partial contains 5.8S ribosomal RNA and internal transcribed spacer 2". The stretch from base 1 to 71 matches the Rfam family "5.8S ribosomal RNA", at positions 84 to 154 of the family's 154-position model. The record is from RNAcentral. Lineage: Eukaryota; Fungi; Glomeromycota; Glomeromycetes; Glomerales; Glomeraceae.